Molecule: ribosomal RNA, 441 nt
Filed under: uncultured bacterium
Lineage: Bacteria
Description: bacterial SSU rRNA
Rfam family: Bacterial small subunit ribosomal RNA
Source: RNAcentral
AACGCGAAGAACCUUACCUACCCUUGACAUCCUCGGAAUCUGGCAGAGAUGCCGGAGUGCCUUCGGGAACCGAGAGACAGGUGCUGCAUGGCUGUCGUCAGCUCGUGUUGUGAGAUGUUGGGUUAAGUCCCGUAACGAGCGCAACCCCUGUCCCUAGUUGCCAACGAGUAAAGUCGGGAACUCUAGGGAGACUGCCGGUGACAAACCGGAGGAAGGUGGGGAUGACGUCAAGUCAUCAUGGCCUUUAUGGGUAGGGCUACACACGUGCUACAAUGGGCAGUACAGAGGGUUGCCAACCAGCGAUGGGGAGCUAAUCUCAGAAAACUGUUCGUAGUCCGGAUUGGAGUCUGCAACUCGACUCCAUGAAGCUGGAAUCGCUAGUAAUCGCGGAUCAGAACGCCGCGGUGAAUACGUUCCCGGGCCUUGUACACACCGGUACUA